AGGUGCGAUCAUACCAGCACUAAUGCACCGGAUCCCAUCAGAACUCCGCAGUUAAGCGUGCUUGGGCGAGAGUUGUACUAGAUUUGUUGACCUCCGGGGAAGUCCUCGUGUUGCACCUU
This is a non-coding RNA of Cicer arietinum (chickpea), 119 nucleotides long. NCBI's taxonomy places the organism in Eukaryota, Viridiplantae, Streptophyta, Magnoliopsida, Fabales, Fabaceae. The record is from Rfam.